CUUCCAUGUAUGAUGAACCAUUGCGGAUGUAAACAUUUGUCACGUCGGAAAAGCGCAAAAAAACAAUGUCGAAAUUUCCGUUGCCUUCCUUCUGAUCAUGGAC
This 103-nucleotide small nucleolar RNA is filed under the name Ustilaginoidea virens. RNAcentral's name for it is "Small nucleolar RNA Z13/snr52". It matches the Rfam family "Small nucleolar RNA Z13/snr52". Rfam says of the family: Z13 or snr52 is a member of the C/D class of snoRNA which contain the C (UGAUGA) and D (CUGA) box motifs. Most of the members of the box C/D family function in directing site-specific 2'-O-methylation of substrate RNAs. Lineage: Eukaryota; Fungi; Ascomycota; Sordariomycetes; Hypocreales; Clavicipitaceae. The record is from Rfam by way of RNAcentral.